UAUGAUUUUGAAAGCUUAUUUAAUGAUAUUUCUAAUGUCAUAAAAUAUUUUUCUAAUAAAGAAUAAAAUUUUAUUUUGCUAUGCGGACCUAUUACGUCAUACCACGUGACAUAAGCCAUAGAUAUCAGGUGACACCUAUCACUUUUCAAAUCCUUUUUAUACAAGGAUCUUAUAUCAACAAAAAAAGUUUGCUUGUAACAUGUAUGUGCACACGAAUAGUUUUUUGAAACAUAGUGACCUGCACUAUUCUACGAGUUUUCCUUCACAACAGCAUAUAUAUCAGAAUUUAUACCAUGGAAGUAUAAAACAGAUGGAAGUUCAUCGAGCCGCAAACAUCAAAGCAAUUUCAAGAUGUCUCGGGAGUAUGCUUUAAACCGACAAUUAAAAAAAAACAAGUUUCACUGGA
Molecule: non-coding RNA, 406 nt
Organism: Hydra vulgaris (swiftwater hydra)
Lineage: Eukaryota; Metazoa; Cnidaria; Hydrozoa; Anthoathecata; Hydridae
Source: RefSeq, a predicted model, not a curated record